AAUCUUGAUUUUCCAGUCGUUUGCCCUAUAAUGAAUAGUGCCGGGGUAACCCGGCUAAGAUGCUAAACUCUUUGUGGAAUAGGCGUUGUGGACCCGGGGGCAGUACCCGGCGGCUCCACCAGAAUCCCCGGCGAUGAUGGUUCGGGCAUUCAGGCGGGGCCGAAACAGGAUUGACGCGCGCGGUAAAGGCAAAGCCUGUAUCCGUUAUGGUACGGUCGUUAUCCGGCCAGGCAAUUAAAUGCCAACGAUAACUUCAAGUUCGCAAACGCAGUAGCUGCUAACGACAAUGGUCGUUUCGCUAUCGCUGCCUAAUCGGGCAAGUUUGCACGAAGUCAAAUCCCUUGCUGACUAACUAUCGGUAAGGUGGGGCGCGGGCCGGCCUAGCAACAGAACCGGCCCAUU
Molecule: transfer-messenger RNA, 402 nt
Filed under: Micavibrio aeruginosavorus
Lineage: Bacteria; Pseudomonadati; Bdellovibrionota; Bdellovibrionia; Bdellovibrionales; Pseudobdellovibrionaceae
Rfam family: Alphaproteobacteria transfer-messenger RNA
About the family: Bacterial tmRNA, also known as 10Sa RNA or SsrA, is named for its dual tRNA and mRNA-like properties. Its role is to liberate the mRNA from a stalled ribosome.
Source: RNAcentral